AAUACGGUUUCGUAGGUGACCUGCGGAAGG
This 30-nucleotide ribosomal RNA is filed under the name Peltigera elisabethae. Its description in RNAcentral is "partial 18S ribosomal RNA". The record is from RNAcentral. Lineage: Eukaryota; Fungi; Ascomycota; Lecanoromycetes; Peltigerales; Peltigeraceae.